AUUCUCACUUCGGCAGCACGUAUUUUAAAAUUGGAAUGAUACAGAGAAGAUUAACACAGCCCCUUUGCAAGGAUGACAUGCAAAUUCAUGAACCAUUUCCCUCUCCA
Molecule: small nuclear RNA, 107 nt
Organism: Gracilinanus agilis (Agile Gracile Mouse Opossum)
Lineage: Eukaryota; Metazoa; Chordata; Mammalia; Didelphimorphia; Didelphidae
Source: RefSeq, a predicted model, not a curated record